This 200-nucleotide unclassified non-coding RNA is filed under the name soil metagenome. RNAcentral's name for it is "partial contains internal transcribed spacer 2 and large subunit ribosomal RNA". The record is from RNAcentral.
GGGUUUUUUUGACCUGAUCGGAGUUGGACUUUGGGUGUCUUCUGCCAGCUAUAAUGGCUCACCUCAAAAGAGUUAGUGGGAUAAGCGCCCAUGGCUAAGACGUAAUAAGUUUCGUCUGGCUUGGUGUGAUUGCCUGCUCAUAACAAACCAUAUUAUUUGACUCUGACCUCAAAUCAGGUAGGGCUACCCGCUGAACUUAA